UAUGGUCCCAACUACUUGGGAAGCUGAGGUGGGAGUUUUGCUUGAGCCCGGGAGGCAGAGGUUACAAUGAACUGAGAUCACGUCACUGUACUCCAACCUGGGCAACAGAGCAAGGCUGUCUCAAAAAAAAAAAAAAAAAAAAAGUAGAAGGUAAAUACAAAGAUAAAAAGCAAAGAACCAGAAAGUAAAAAGCAAGAGAGAAAAAUGAGGUUUAGAAAUUUCCAUUUUCCCUUUGACUUUGUGUCUUAAAAGAUAAAAAAUAAAGAGAUUUAGAAUUUUUUUUUAAAAAAAGAAUUAAGAAACAAAACAGUAAAACAUAAACUAAGAGUGACAAUAUUUUUUAAAAGAGAAGACAGAGAUAAACGAAGAGCUUAAAAAGCAUGGGAAUAAGAAAUAAUAAAAGGCUUAGUAAAAAGUUGGCGUGAAAGGUGACCCACCCACGGGCCGAGCCCUACCCAUUCACUGAGCCUGGGAAAUGACAUUCAGCAGCAGGUGGAGGAGCAGCUGUUUUCUGUCACCCAGCUCUCAAGGGCCUGGGCUGGUUGUAGCUCCCUGUCACUGAAGCAAGCCCUGUGCUGGAGCCUAACCCCGGUGUCUCUCCAACUAACCCGCAUGCUGCCCUGGCCCCUGGUAUUCUCACCUCCUCCCAUGGGAACCUGGGACAGCCACGCCUAAUGUGCUGCGUCUUGACCACUUUGCCCAGUGCCUAGGAAGGUCUUUUUGGAGGCAGAGCCUGCCCUUGGCUGGGCCCUGCAUCGAACUCUAUGGAGCUCCUUGAACUGCAACGCUGGCCCCAUGGCCUGAUAAGGACCACUGCUACUGAGAAGCUCCAAGGACUGCUCCCUCUCAUCACCCCUUAGUGUGCACCCCUGGACCAUUGGCCCACAUUGGACACCAGACCCUUAGGAUGUGGAUUUGAAUUAUCUGCUCUUUCCUGAAACUAACAGGCAACUCUAUAGAUCACUGGGGACUCAUCCUGCAGAUAUCAUUCAAGGUAUCCGGUUCAGAAUCUAUCACCAGCUCAGACUGUAGCCUCUGAAGAGAUCUCAGAUGUUUUGUGCCUUAUACAUUUAAUUCUGAGAUCAUAGAGCCCAAGGAGGUUUUGAGGACCCUCUACCCACACCUUCAGAUGUUUUCAGAGGAUUUGCUGGCAGGGCUGGGCCACUGGGCCUUGCUGGGCUCUAAUUUUCCUACCCACGUGUGUCCUAUAGACCGUGAAUUUUCUUCUAAACACUCUUGACUUUUCACUUGUUAAAUUAAAGCAUUUUCUUA
RNAcentral lists this long non-coding RNA (1272 nucleotides) under Homo sapiens (human). Its description in RNAcentral is "HSALNT0337799". The record is from RNAcentral. Lineage: Eukaryota; Metazoa; Chordata; Mammalia; Primates; Hominidae.